AGUGACAGAGUGAGGAAGGGGGUGACUAGUGACAGAGGGAGGGGUGACUAGGGACAGAGUGAGGGAGGUGGUGACUAGUGACAGUCACCACCUCCCUCACUCUGUCACUAGUCACCCCCUCCCUCACUCUGUCACUGUGUCACCCCCUCCCUCUGUCACUGGUCACCAGUCAUCCCCUCACUUUGUCACUAGUAACCCCUUCCUUCCCUCACUCUGCCACUAGUCACCCCUUUCCUCACUCUGCCACUAGUCACCCCUUUCCUCACUCUGUCACCU
Non-coding RNA from Pelobates cultripes (western spadefoot toad), 276 nucleotides. NCBI's taxonomy places the organism in Eukaryota, Metazoa, Chordata, Amphibia, Anura, Pelobatidae. The record is from the annotation of a GenBank genome assembly.